CACAGUUUACAAGCAGAUCAUGACAUUACAACACACACAUAUUGUUAAUUAACUUUGGAUGUCAAUUAGAGGUCUUCAAGGUCCGGGUGGACCCAAUAUACCCGAAUAUACCCGAGACCCGGGCCGUUCUGGUCUGAAAUUCUAACCUGUCCCUCGGUUCAGGGUGGGUCCUGCUUGAUUGUCAUCGGAUCUUGGGUCUAUGGAACUACAGCUGAUAGACCCGAAUGGACCCGACCAGGGCUCUGCAUAGUCUAUAGCAUAUAUAUUUUAUGCUAAUCAGGUGAAAUGAUUGACUUAUAGAAGGCCUAGCCAACAUAAAGACCUAUUAAUUAUCCAGAAGAGCAACUUGACUGAUAUCUGGACCCGUGAAGACCGAGAAUGUCAAUACAAACCAGCCCUUCUACUGAUUUGAAUUAUGUAUAAAGAAAAUAUUUACAACUGAAUUCUACUGGAGUCUAUGGACUUAUUUUGUAUUCAAUAGAAUAGCCCAUAAGGCCCAUGGUCAAAUGUAGUGCACUACAGAGGGAAUUGUGCGCCAUUGGGACACUCAGCCCCAGUAUAUACUAUAUACAGACACAGCCCCCAGUAUAUACUAUAUACAGACACAGCCCAAGCCUUCUCAGAUUUUUCUCAGAUGCUGUACUGCUCAUUUAAACAGGAAGGCUCCAGGGCAGGUUUUAUUUUGGACAAACUUAUCGACGACCUUGUCGUGAAAGUCUGACCUGAGUCCUUGAAUGAAGUCCUUCUCGACAGAGAGCAUGGACAGUGCAUUUAGCAUGCCAUUGUUCUGUUGCCAAGCGACCGCGGAUCCCGAGGUGUUCCGAGAACACGGCAACGCCUGGAUUCUUUUCAGAGUGGGGAACCUUCUAUCAGACUCAGCGGUCUGCAUGGGAGUGGUGAUGAUGAUUUUGAGAAGAGAGACUGUCUCUGACAAAACAUCCUGGAGGUUGAGUUCGCUGAUUGUUUUCAGUAAAGACAGCGCUGUUGUACCCCUGUGGAGCUCCGUGUGUUGGUACAGAGAGGUCAAUUCAUCUUUCAGCUUCCCAGUGUUAACCACCGGCCAUAGCUUGGCAGCACACUGUAGGGCUGAGCACGGGAAACAGCCUACGAACUUAGAGAAGAGCGUGGGAUUCACCAGUUUGGCUGCGAUUAAAUGGUCACUACUUUGAGAAAACCUGUGAUGCACAUGUGUGAUGAUGAUGUCACAUGCCUUCCUCAUGACCGCUGCAGUUCUCUUUGUGUCUCUUUUGUCGUUGUCCGACGUGGGGCCUACGUGUGCUGUGGCCUCAGCUCUCCCCUGUUGGGCCUGAAUGUACUUCUCGAAACUAUCAACUGCCUGUUCGAUGUCCGCCACGUCAAUGUCCCUUUUGAGUAUAUUAACAGUGAGAACAUCCACCUCUUGCAUGACCAAAUAGAAUAAUUCCAGCAGUUGUAGGAACGUGGGGUCCCCGAGUUUGGCUGACAGGCCAUAAGCCUCUCUGAUAGAGUCCUGGUCCCACACCGGCUGUGUCCUAAUAUCCUGCACACACUUCUGAAGAGCAACGCGAUUCUCCCAAACCACACUGACCGUUUCUCGCUCACAGUUCCACCCUGCAGCUGUAGCUCUCUUUGGCUGAUCUUUGAAGAAGGUCUCGAACAAAGACAAAUCCACAAAAAACACUUUGAGUUGGGUUGCUGUCGCCGAGCAGAUCUGCUGGAGUGUGACACGUAGCGGGUGAGCGUAACAGUGCACAAAGUUAGCGUUGGGAUAGGUGUGUUUCAGGUGAGUUUCCAGGUCGCGUACGUCGGCCCCGUCCACUGCUGCCGCCGCGACCCCGUCGUACGUCUGAGCGAUCAGCUUGUGCUCCAGUUUCAGUGGUUCCAGCGAGUCCUUGACUGCGUUGGUGAGACCGGCGGCCGUUUUAUCCUUUAGGUCCACAAACUCCCAAAACCUCUCUGUGAUGGUAUUGUCUGGAAGCAUGUACCGUAGCACGACAGAGACCUGCUGUGGCAUACAGGAGUAGAUUGUUAGCCCAAGAAGCUGAUCUUGGGCCAGUAUGGCAUUUUCCACACUAAUGGUCAAGGUUGGGAUUGGAGAUGCUGAUCCUAGAUCUGUAGCUAGGGGUAAUGUCACCCUGGAGGAGACCUCCCCUGUCCACGGCAUGCCGUCCACCUGCACCGCUACGAAGCUAGCCGCCCACACCUCCUUGGUAAUCGCCUCUUUGUACACCUCGUGCAUACAGUCAAACAGUUUGUUUUGUACAUAGCCUCUUGGGUGCUUAAAGAAGCCGUGAGCGUCAUAAUGCCUCUGGAGUCUCGAGUCUCCCUCGCACAUCGUCUCAAAGACGCACUUAAACAUGGAUGUGUUUAGAGAGUCCGACUCGACCCGGCCGCUCCGCCACGUGGCAGCCAUGUGUCUCCCACACAGCACGUAGCAUUUGACCAUUCUACCCAGCACGUACCUGUUCUCCUCUGUUUGUCUGUUGUGUAUCUCAAUGGAGCUUGGGUUUACGCUGACCAGCUGACCAGCGGCGUUAGUCUUCCCCGUUUUCCAGAUGAGUACAACAACUCUCAUGUUUGGAAAUCCUUUCGGAGAGGUGCUUCAGGUCCUUGAAACCCACCGUUGACCAAGUGCCCUCUUUGCCGAAUAAAAGGCACGGGAAGCAGUAAAGCGCUUUUUUGGAGACGCUAGCCGUCAGCCACGAUUUCUUAUGGAACCACGAGGGGUUGAAUGAACGGGUCGGGUCCUUUCCCUUUGUUCUGUGUUGGGGAAGUGUUAUUUCUACAUCAGGUGGCUGGUGGGGACCGAGACUUUUUAUCUGGAGUUUCUCCUCCUGCGACAAAGUGUAACGGUUUGUAAGGAGAAAAUCCACAUGGUUACUGAUUGAUGUUGGUUUUCUGGCCUGGUUCAAGCUCUCAUCACAUAUAUCUUUAUGUUUACUAGGAUCCCCGUUAGCUGACACGAUGAUGAAAGAAAAUUGUGGGAGGACUGGUGGGAGGAUUGGUGAGAAGGAGCUGGAAGUCUUUUUCCGUUUGGGAGGACAUGUUGCAACAUGGCUGCGGUCUUUACAAGUGUGUUUUCUCAACUCCUCUGGCUCAUAGAAACUAGUGAAGCAGUCCAUGCAGUGGUGAUGUUUCUGUCUUGAGUUCCUCCCUCUAUGUUGUCGGUGGUUUCCUGAUACUGUGGUACUGGGCUCGCUGAGUGAGCCUGAGUUGGAGCUCUCUCCUGUGAGAAUAUAU
RNAcentral lists this long non-coding RNA (3219 nucleotides) under Salmo salar (Atlantic salmon). RNAcentral's name for it is "lncRNA (ENSSSAG00000110955.1)". The record is from RNAcentral. Lineage: Eukaryota; Metazoa; Chordata; Actinopteri; Salmoniformes; Salmonidae.